CGGAGAGGGAGCAUGAGAAACGGCUACCACAUCUAAGGAAGGCAGCAGGCGCGCAAAUUACCCAAUCCUUACACAGGGAGGUAGUGACAAGAAAUAACAAUACGUUAGAAUGUUCUUACGUAAUUGGAAUGAUUUGACUGUAAACUUGUCGGAGAGUACCAAUUGGAGGGCAAGUCUGGUGCCAGCAGCCGCGGUAAUUCCAGCUCCAAUAGCGUAUGCUAAAAUUGUUGCGGUUAAAACGCUCGUAGUUGUACGUUCCCCCAGGGCACUCGGAUUUUUCGUACAGAAGGUUCCGAGUGGUCUGUGAAAUUAUCUUACAAAGCGGUCUCUUGCUGAGCACGCGGAAAGGGAUACUUGUACCUUGAAGAAAUUAGAGUGCUUCAAGCAGAUUAUUGUCUGAAUAUUAUAGCAUGGAAUAGUUGGAGAAGACACUGGUUCUAUUAGAGAUUUGUAGAGCAGGUGUAAUAGUUGAGAGGAACAGAAGGGGGCAUUCAUAUUCGCAUGUGAGAGGUGGAAUUCUUGGGUCUUGCGAAGGUGGACUACUGCGAAAGCAUUUGUCAAGAAUGUUUUCAUUAAUCAAGAACGAAAGUUAGGGGAUCGAAGACGAUUAGAUACCGUCCUAGUCUUUACCAUAAACCAUACCUUUUGGAGAUCAGGUGAACCUCGAACGCAGAGGAUUCUGGCAUCCUAGGGGAAACUAAAAUUUUUGGGUUCCGGGGGGAGUAUGGUCGCAAGACUGAAACUUAAAGGAAUUGACGGAAGGGCACCACCAGGAGUGGAGCUUGCGGCUUAAUAUGACUCAACGCGAGAAAUCUCACCAGGUCCAGACAUGGAAGGAUGACAGAGAAGC
Molecule: ribosomal RNA, 850 nt
Filed under: uncultured eukaryote
Lineage: Eukaryota
Description: SSU rRNA
Rfam family: Eukaryotic small subunit ribosomal RNA
Source: RNAcentral